UAGAACGUCGUGAGACAGUUCGGUCCCUAUCUGCCGUGGGCGCUGGAGAAUUGAGGGGGGCUGCUCCUAGUACGAGAGGACCGGAGUGGACGCAUCACUGGUGUUCGGGUUGUCAUGCCAAUGGCACUGCCCGGUAGCUAAAUGCGGAAGAGAUAAGUGCUGAAAGCAUCUAAGCACGAAACUUGCCCCGAGAUGAUUUCUCCCUGAGACUUUAAGUCUCCUGAAGGAACGUUGAAGACGACGACGUUGAUAGGCCGGGUGUGUAAGCGCAGCGAUGCGUUGAGCUAACCGGUACUAAUGAACCGUGAGGCUUAACCUUA
RNAcentral lists this ribosomal RNA (320 nucleotides) under Klebsiella quasipneumoniae. RNAcentral describes it as "23S rRNA. Bacterial LSU". It matches the Rfam family "Bacterial large subunit ribosomal RNA", at positions 2612 to 2925 of the family's 2925-position model. Lineage: Bacteria; Pseudomonadati; Pseudomonadota; Gammaproteobacteria; Enterobacterales; Enterobacteriaceae. RNAcentral also lists the same sequence under 1 other name. The record is from RNAcentral.